AGGGAUGACUGGUGACAGAGUGAGGGAAUGACUGGUGACAGAGUGAGAGAGGGGGUGACUAGUGACCGAGUGAGGGAGCGAGUGGGUGACUAGUGACAGAGUGAGGAAGGGGGUGACACAGUGAUAGUCACCCCAUUCCUCCCUCUGUCACUAAUCACCACCUCCCUCACUCUCACUAGUCACCCCUUCCCUCUCUCACUCUGUCACUAGUCACACCCUCCCUCUCUCUGUCACUAGUCACACCCU
Molecule: non-coding RNA, 246 nt
Organism: Pelobates cultripes (western spadefoot toad)
Lineage: Eukaryota; Metazoa; Chordata; Amphibia; Anura; Pelobatidae
Source: the annotation of a GenBank genome assembly